GUGCUUAUAGUUUAAUUAGGUGAAAAUAUUCGGCUGAUAACCGAAAGCUCAAGGUUCAAAUCCUUGUAAGCACA
This 74-nucleotide transfer RNA is filed under the name Candidatus Pacearchaeota archaeon. RNAcentral's name for it is "tRNA-Ile". It matches the Rfam family "tRNA". From Rfam's summary of the family: Transfer RNA (tRNA) molecules are approximately 80 nucleotides in length. Their secondary structure includes four short double-helical elements and three loops (D, anti-codon, and T loops). Further hydrogen bonds mediate the characteristic L-shaped molecular structure. tRNAs have two regions of fundamental functional importance: the anti-codon, which is responsible for specific mRNA codon recognition, and the 3' end, to which the tRNAs corresponding amino acid is attached (by aminoacyl-tRNA synthetases). tRNAs cope with the degeneracy of the genetic code in two manners: having more than one tRNA (with a specific anti-codon) for a particular amino acid; and 'wobble' base-pairing, i.e. permitting non-standard base-pairing at the 3rd anti-codon position. The record is from RNAcentral. Lineage: Archaea; Nanobdellati.